RNAcentral lists this ribosomal RNA (340 nucleotides) under Mitostoma gracile. RNAcentral describes it as "partial large subunit ribosomal RNA". Lineage: Eukaryota; Metazoa; Arthropoda; Arachnida; Opiliones; Nemastomatidae. The record is from RNAcentral.
GUGCAAAGGUAGCAUAAUCAUUUGUUUCUUGAUUAGGAACUGGAAUGAAAGGUUUGAUUGAGAAUGGCUUUAUUAAGGAAAAGAGUUGAAAUUAGCGUUGAGAUAAAAAGCUUUCAAUAUAUUUGUGGGACGAUAAGACCCUAUUAAGCUUUACUAAAAGUAGAGAAAGACUUGUUUUUCUGCUAUAAAGAGUUUUACUGGGGCGGUAGCUUAAUAAGAUUAGUAAGAUUAUUAAGAGCCAUCAUUGGUGAAAAUAAGAUAAAGUUACUGUAGGGAUAACAGCAUAAUMUUUUCUAGGAGCACUAAUCUGAGAGAAGGUUUAUGACCUCGAUGUUGAAUU